This 301-nucleotide ribosomal RNA is filed under the name uncultured bacterium. RNAcentral's name for it is "partial 16S ribosomal RNA". It matches the Rfam family "Archaeal small subunit ribosomal RNA", at positions 459 to 760 of the family's 1478-position model. The record is from RNAcentral.
CAGUAGCCGCGGGAAUACCAGCACCUCGAGUGGUCAGGAGGUUUAUUGGGCCUAAAGCAUCCGUAGCCGGUUGUUUAAGUUUUCGGUUAAAUCUAUGCGCUUAACGUAUAGGCUGCCGAAAAUACUGGACAGCUAGGGAGUGGGAGAGGUACACGGUACUCAAUAGGAAGGGGUAAAAUCCUUUGAUCUGAUGAUGACCACCUGUGGCGAAGGCGGUGUACCAGAACACGUUCGACGGUGAGGGAUGAAAGCUGGGGGAGCAAACCGGAUUAGAUACCCGGGUAGUCCCUGUCUCUUAUAC